UACUGGCUGAAAAGAUCCAUUCACAAGCAUUACCCGAAGGUGCACGUUUUCUUAUGCACAUGAGGAUGUCAAUGCAUGAUUCAGCAACGAGGCUGAAAACUGAGGAGGAAAUGAUGAUCCCAUUGAACUUCUUCUUAAAGUCAACAUGAUUAUUAACGUAAUUUAAUUAUGACAUUCACACCUU
Long non-coding RNA from Magallana angulata, 184 nucleotides. RefSeq lists it as uncharacterized. The record is from RefSeq and is a predicted model, not a curated record. The transcript has 2 exons. NCBI's taxonomy places the organism in Eukaryota, Metazoa, Mollusca, Bivalvia, Ostreida, Ostreidae.